RNAcentral lists this ribosomal RNA (164 nucleotides) under uncultured bacterium. RNAcentral's name for it is "partial 16S rRNA". It matches the Rfam family "Bacterial small subunit ribosomal RNA", at positions 355 to 511 of the family's 1533-position model. The record is from RNAcentral.
UAGGGAAUCUUCCACAAUGGGCGAAAGCCUGACGGAGCAACGCCGCGUGUGUGAUGAAGGGUUUCGGCUCGUAAAACACUGUUGUAAGAGAAGAAUGACAUUGAGAGUAACUGUUCAAUGUGUGACGGUAUCUUACCAGAAAGGAACGGCUAAAUACGUGCCAC